GAUGAACGCUGGCGGCGUGCCUAAUACAUGCAAGUCGAGCGAACGGACGAGAAGCUUGCUUCUCUGAUGUUAGCGGCGGACGGGUGAGUAACACGUGGAUAACCUACCUAUAAGACUGGGAUAACUUCGGGAAACCGGAGCUAAUACCGGAUAAUAUUUUGAACCGCAUGGUUCAAAAGUGAAAGACGGUCUUGCUGUCACUUAUAGAUUGAUCCGCGCUGCAUUAGCUAGUUGGUAAGGUAACGGCUUACCAAGGCAACGAUGCAUAGCCGACCUGAGAGGGUGAUCGGCCACACUGGAACUGAGACACGGUCCAGACUCCUACGGGAGGCAGCAGUAGGGAAUCUUCCGCAAUGGGCGAAAGCCUGACGGAGCAACGCCGCGUGAGUGAUGAAGGUUUUCGGAUCGUAAAACUCUGUUAUUAGGGAAGAACAUAUGUGUAAGUAACUGUGCACAUCUUGACGGUACCUAAUCAGAAAGCCACGGCUAACUACGUG
This 497-nucleotide ribosomal RNA is filed under the name uncultured bacterium. RNAcentral's name for it is "partial 16S ribosomal RNA". It matches the Rfam family "Bacterial small subunit ribosomal RNA", at positions 28 to 507 of the family's 1533-position model. The record is from RNAcentral.